This 495-nucleotide ribosomal RNA is filed under the name uncultured Bacillota bacterium. RNAcentral describes it as "bacterial SSU rRNA". It matches the Rfam family "Bacterial small subunit ribosomal RNA", at positions 410 to 896 of the family's 1533-position model. Lineage: Bacteria; Bacillati; Bacillota. The record is from RNAcentral.
GAAGGCCUUCGGGUCGUAAAGCUCUGUUGUUAGGGAAGAACAAGUACGAGAGUAACUGCUCGUACCUUGACGGUACCUAACCAGAAAGCCACGGCUAACUACGUGCCAGCAGCCGCGGUAAUACGUAGGUGGCAAGCGUUGUCCGGAAUUAUUGGGCGUAAAGCGCGCGCAGGCGGUCCUUUAAGUCUGAUGUGAAAGCCCACGGCUCAACCGUGGAGGGUCAUUGGAAACUGGGGGACUUGAGUGCAGAAGAGGAGAGUGGAAUUCCACGUGUAGCGGUGAAAUGCGUAGAGAUGUGGAGGAACACCAGUGGCGAAGGCGACUCUCUGGUCUGUAACUGACGCUGAGGCGCGAAAGCGUGGGGAGCAAACAGGAUUAGAUACCCUGGUAGUCCACGCCGUAAACGAUGAGUGCUAAGUGUUAGAGGGUUUCCGCCCUUUAGUGCUGCAGCUAACGCAUUAAGCACUCCGCCUGGGGAGUACGGCCGCAAGGCUG